RNAcentral lists this ribosomal RNA (1529 nucleotides) under activated sludge metagenome. Its description in RNAcentral is "bacterial LSU rRNA". It matches the Rfam family "Bacterial large subunit ribosomal RNA", at positions 823 to 2451 of the family's 2925-position model. The record is from RNAcentral.
AAAAGUAUAAUCACACUCGGAGAUAGCUCGCUCUCUCCGAAAUAACUUUAGGGUUAGCCUCGGCUGGCAAGCGAUGGGGGUAGAGCUACUGGACGAGGCGUCGGGCCUAACCGGCUACGACCCUCAACCAAACUCCGAAUACCAUUGCCCAAGACCCGGGAGAUAGACGGUGAGUGACAAUAUCCAUCGUCAAAAGGAGAACAAUCCAGACCACCAGCUAAGGUCCCGAAUCUACGCUUAGUUCGAAAGGAAGUCAGAUUGCAGUGACAGCCGGGAUGUUGGCUUAGAAGCAGCCACCAUUUAAAGAGUGCGUAACAGCUCACCGGUCGAGGAGUCUGGCGCCGAUAAUGAUCGGGAAUAAGCGUGGAGCCGAAGCUGUGGGCCCAGCAGCAAUGCUGGGCGGUAGGAGAGCGUAGUUGAUGCUGUGAAGCGGCUCGGGAACGGGUCGUGGAGCGUCCACUAGUGCAUAUGCCGGCUUAAGUAACGAUUAACACGGUGAAAAUCCGUGUCGCCGAAUGCCUAAGGUUUCCUGGGGAAGGUAAAUCCGCCCAGGGUUAGCCGGGUCCUAAGGUGAGGCCGAAAGGCGUAGCCGAUGGAAAUCAGGUCAAUAUUCCUGAGCCAAUGCCCAAUAUGGUGACGGAUCUCCAAGAUCUGCGGGACUGCUAGAUGUCCAGGCCCUCGAGGCCGAUGCAGGUGGAGGAGGUCACGAGAAAAACCGGGCGUGCCCGUACUAAAACUGACACAGGUAGGCGAGGCGAAUAGCCUCAGGCGCUCGAGAGAACGGUCGUGAAGGAACUAGGCAAUUUAACCCCGUACGUUCGCAAGAAGGGGGCCCUCGUCGUCAGACAGGGCGCAGAGAAAAGGGUCUGGGAACUGUUUAUCAAAAACACAGCUCUGUGCUAACUCGGAAGAGGAUGUAUACAGAGUGACGCUUGCUCAAUGCCGGAAUGUCACGGAAGCGGGUCAUCGCAAGAGAAGCCCGCGACUCAAGCACCGGUGAAUAGCGGCCGUAACUAUGACGGUCCUAAGGUAGCGAAGUUCCUUGUCGGGUAAGUUCCGACGCGCAUGAAUAGCGUAAUCACUGGACUCCUGUCUCCACGACCGACUCGGUGAAAUAGUAGUGGCGGUGAAGAUGCCGUCUACCCGCAGCAAGACGGAAAGACCCCGUGGACCUUCACUAUAGGCAUGCGCUGGUCACGAGCACGAACUGCGUAGCAUAGGUGGGAGGCUUUGAAGUUCCCGUUUCGGCGGGAAUGGAGCCAACAAGUGAAAUACCACCCUGUUUAUGUUUGUGGCCUAACUUCGAUUCCCGUGAAUCCGGGCGAAGAACACCGUGUGUUGGGUAGUUUGACUGGGGCGGUCUCCUCCCAAAGAGUAACGGAGGAGUGCAAAGGUCGGCUCAGCACGGAUGGAAACCGUGCCCUGCGUGCAAGAGCACAAGCCGGCUUUACUGCGAGACCGACGGGUCGAGCAGUUACGAAAGUAGGCUCUAGUGAUCCUGCGAUCCCGUGUGGAAGGGUCGUAGCUCA